UACGUAGGGUGCGAGCGUUGUCCGGAAUUAUUGGGCGUAAAGAGCUUGUAGGCGGUUUGUCGCGUCUGCCGUGAAAAUCCGGGGCUCAACCCCGGACUUGCGGUGGGUACGGGCAGACUAGAGUGUGGCAGAGGAAGGUGGAAUUCCACGUGUAGCGGUGAAAUGCGUAGAGAUGUGGAGGAACACCGAUGGCGAAGGCAGCCUUCUGGGCCAACACUGACGCUCAUGCACGAAAGCGUGGGGAGCAAACAGG
Molecule: ribosomal RNA, 253 nt
Filed under: uncultured bacterium
Lineage: Bacteria
Description: partial 16S ribosomal RNA
Rfam family: Bacterial small subunit ribosomal RNA
Source: RNAcentral